AGCACUGUAGGUGCCAGCAGCCGCGGUAAUACGUAGGGUGCAAGCGUUAAAUCGGUAAAUUACUGGGCGUAAAAGACGUGCGCAGGCGGUUAUAUAAGACAGAUGUGAAAUCCCCGGGCUCAACCUGGGAACUGCAUUUGUGACUGUAUAGCUAGAGUACGGUAGAGGGGGAUGGAAUUCCGCGUGUAGCAGUGAAAAUGCGUAGAUAUGCGGAGGAACACCGAUGGCGAAGGCAAUCCCCUGGACCUGUACUGACGCUCAUGCACGAAAGCGUGGGGAGCGAAACAGGGAUUAGAUACCCUGGUAGUCCACGCCCUAAAACGAGUGUCAACUGGUUUGUUGGGUCUUCACUGACUCAGUAACGAAG
This 367-nucleotide ribosomal RNA is filed under the name uncultured bacterium. RNAcentral's name for it is "bacterial SSU rRNA". It matches the Rfam family "Bacterial small subunit ribosomal RNA", at positions 489 to 851 of the family's 1533-position model. The record is from RNAcentral.